UACGUAGGGGGCGAGCGUUGUCCGAAUUUACUGGGCGUAAAGCGCGCGUAGGCGGACCUUUAAGUCGGGGGUGGAAUGCCGAGGCUCAACUUCGGAACUGCCUUCGAAACUGGGGGUCUUGAGGUAUGGAGAGGGAAGUGGAAUUCCUGGUGUAGCGGUGAAAUGCGUAGAUAUCAGGAGGAACACCUGUGGCGAAGGCGGCUUCCUGGCCAUAUCCUGACGCUGAGGUGCGAAAGCCAGGGGAG
RNAcentral lists this ribosomal RNA (245 nucleotides) under uncultured bacterium. Its description in RNAcentral is "partial 16S ribosomal RNA". It matches the Rfam family "Bacterial small subunit ribosomal RNA", at positions 524 to 768 of the family's 1533-position model. The record is from RNAcentral.